Molecule: ribosomal RNA, 427 nt
Filed under: uncultured bacterium
Lineage: Bacteria
Description: bacterial SSU rRNA
Rfam family: Bacterial small subunit ribosomal RNA
Source: RNAcentral
UGGGGAAUUUUGGACAAUGGGCGCAGGCCUGAUCCAGCAAUGCCGCGUGCAGGAUGAAGGCCUUCGGGUUGUAAACUGCUUUUGUACGGAGCGAAAAGGUCUGCCCUAAUACGGUGGGCUCAUGACGGUACCGUAAGAAUAAGCACCGGCUAACUACGUGCCAGCAGCCGCGGUAAUACGUAGGGUGCGAGCGUUAAUCGGAAUUACUGGGCGUAAAGCGUGCGCAGGCGGUUAUAUAAGACAGAUGUGAAAUCCCCGGGCUCAACCUGGGACCUGCAUUUGUGACUGUAUAGCUAGAGUACGGUAGAGGGGGAUGGAAUUCCGCGUGUAGCAGUGAAAUGCGUAGAUAUGCGGAGGAACACCGAUGGCGAAGGCAGGUGGCUACGUUUGAUUUGACACUGAGGCACGAAAGCAUGGGGAGCAAACA